This 547-nucleotide ribosomal RNA is filed under the name uncultured bacterium. RNAcentral describes it as "partial 16S ribosomal RNA". It matches the Rfam family "Bacterial small subunit ribosomal RNA", at positions 355 to 912 of the family's 1533-position model. The record is from RNAcentral.
UGGGGAAUAUUGCACAAUGGGCGAAAGCCUGAUGCAGCGACGCCGCGUGAGGGAUGACGGCCUUCGGGUUGUAAACCUCUUUCAGCAGGGAAGAAGCGAAAGUGACGGUACCUGCAGAAGAAGCGCCGGCUAACUACGUGCCAGCAGCCGCGGUAAUACGUAGGGCGCAAGCGUUGUCCGGAAUUAUUGGGCGUAAAGAGCUCGUAGGCGGUUAGUCGCGUCUGCUGUGAAAACUCGAGGCUCAACCUCGGGCUUGCAGUGGGUACGGGCUGACUAGAGUGCGGUAGGGGUGACUGGAAUUCCUGGUGUAGCGGUGGAAUGCGCAGAUAUCAGGAGGAACACCGAUGGCGAAGGCAGGUCACUGGGCCGCAACUGACGCUGAGGAGCGAAAGCAUGGGGAGCGAACAGGAUUAGAUAGCCCUGGUAGUCCAUGCCGUAAACGUUGGGCACUAGGUGUGGGUCCAUUCCACGGAUUCCGUGCCGCAGCAAACGCAUUAAGUGCCCCGCCUGGGGAGUACGGCCGCAAGGCUAAAACUUAAAUGAAUUG